UCAAAAACCGCUUGUACACAGGGCUCGAAAGUGGACAUCCGAUCAGUCUGGAUGGACAUGGAUGGCAUGUCGUCUCCUAGCCAGCUACGGAAACUGAUGUUUUCGCUGGGUCGGGGACAUACAAGCAGAAGUUUCGCCACCACAUUCAGAGACAUGUGAACUCGACUCCAUCGAUGCUACACAAGUGACGUCUGUGUCACAACUUGAAGAAGAAAUUGGACUGGGUGAAGCUCACACUCCGCAGCCGCCAAAAUCCGAAGAAAGUGUGAUGCCACAAAUGCGAAUUCCAGCGUCAGUUACUGAAGAAUCUGCUGAUUUUGCGCCUGGGUCAACAGCAGCUGAGUGACACUUUGUCAAGACUGCCAUCCAAUCCAGCUGCUCCCGAUGCUUCACUCGUGCCAGUAGAACCAUUUGAGACAGCAGAGGAACUGGAGACUUUUGAGAGGAAACUCACGAAGGACACUCAAAAGCAGUUUGUCAGUGAAAUGUUUAGUUUGUGCUUCUUAUAGGUAUACGAAAGUGCAAUUUAUGGGUCAAUAUAUCUGGUCUACAUUACUCGAAGAAAGGUAAGAAACUCCUUCCAUUACCGAAGCAAGCAUAAACAGAAGCGAUCCAGUCUGUAUACGGAUCAACUACAUGUAUAAUGAUUCCCAGGAACAGGGAAUCAUUAUAGUUUAUCUGCAUCCAGAUUGGAUCUCGGAAAUCGAACAGGCAUAUUUUGGAUGCUGUCAUUCGUUUGCAGUACCAGAUUUUCCGUUUCGUUUCCAGUAAUGGAACACCUGUCAUGAAGCUAUAUCUGAACAAUCUGAACAACUCGGAGGGUCACAGCACUCAUGUUGUUGCCGUUAGCAUUACUGCUAGUAGUCCCUGCCCAAAAAUCUGUACCCUCUUUUCAACCACAUUUCUUUGAGGAUGAAGGCGCAUGGCAGCAACAUGGUACAAAAUGCUGUGCAGGUAGCUUUAGAGCAUUUCCGGUACUUCUUUGAGCACCCAUGUGUAUGAACAGAUUGCAUACAUCAAGCAAUAAUUGAACCUCUGUAUGCAAUAAGGAGAUAAGUCGUAAAAUCCCAAAUUGAGAAAAGGGGCCUAAUCUGAUGGCCGAUCCCAUUGACACGCAUACCUUUCCCAUUUCUUAACCUCGGGUAGCGGGUCAAUAAAUUGCAAUACCGUCCUAAAUUUUUUUUGGCAGAUACAUACUGGUAUGUAGAUGUCAUUGCAGCAAAAAUAUUAAACGGAAUAAGUUAACUUAUUCCCUUCUUGCAUACAGAGGUUCAGUUGUAACAAGCCUACCAUAUUUUAUAGUUUUUUCACAUCGCAAAUAAGGGCUUAUAAGUAAAUACAUUUUCUGCAGGUACAAGAGCUCGCUGUUCUUGGCAGGAAUACACUUAAAACGUUUAUCAAAACGAAUCCUUACCCAUAUCAUGACGGACAAGUUAGCAACAGUUUACAGCUGGGAGGGCCACAAGGGGAAGUUCAAGUUCGUUGAACUGAGGCUUACUGACUCCAUCCUUGGCUGCUGUGCGCUCCCAAGCAAGAUUCACCGCUACUACGAACAUCGACAUCGAAAAAGAGAUCAAAGAGGGCUCCGGCGUGCAAGCGAAUGAGAGACAAAGACAAAUAAGUAACACAGAGGGGCCCUGCAGUGCCCGCGUGUUCCACUUUAUGCGAAGACCUCGCAAGAGUAGAAGCACAGCCCAGGAAGGCUUUUAUACGUAUAUAACAGACUGUGAUACACCACUGUGACAUAUGUACAUAUAUA
Molecule: long non-coding RNA, 1759 nt
Organism: Ornithodoros turicata
Lineage: Eukaryota; Metazoa; Arthropoda; Arachnida; Ixodida; Argasidae
Exons: 7
Source: RefSeq, a predicted model, not a curated record